RNAcentral lists this ribosomal RNA (253 nucleotides) under uncultured bacterium. RNAcentral's name for it is "partial 16S ribosomal RNA". It matches the Rfam family "Bacterial small subunit ribosomal RNA", at positions 524 to 776 of the family's 1533-position model. The record is from RNAcentral.
GACGUAGGAGGCGAGCGUUGUCCGGAUUCAUUGGGCGUAAAGAGCGUGUAGGCGGUCCGGUAAGUCCGCUGUGAAAGUCGGGGGCUCAACCCUCGAAUGCCGGUGGAUACUGUCGGGCUAGAGUACGGAAGAGGCGAGUGGAAUUCCUGGUGUAGCGGUGAAAUGCGCAGAUAUCAGGAGGAACACCGAUUGCGAAGGCAGCUCGCUGGGACGUAACUGACGCUGAGACGCGAAAGCGUGGGGAGCAAACAGG